AUUGAACGCUGGCGGUAGGCCUAACACAUGCAAGUCGAACGGCAGCACAGUAAGAGCUUGCUCUUACGGGUGGCGAGUGGCGGACGGGUGAGGAAUACAUCGGAAUCUACUUUUUCGUGGGGGAUAACGUAGGGAAACUUACGCUAAUACCGCAUACGACCUACGGGUGAAAGCAGGGGAUCUUCGGACCUUGCGCGAUUGAAUGAGCCGAUGUCGGAUUAGCUAGUUGGCGGGGUAAAGGCCCACCAAGGCGACGAUCCGUAGCUGGUCUGAGAGGAUGACCGCCCACACUGGAACUGAGACACGGCCCAGACCCCUACGGGAGGCAGCAGUGGGGAAUUUUGAACAAUGGGCGCAAGCCUGACCCAGCAAUACCGCGUGGAGGAAGAAGGCCUUCGGGUUGUAAACCCUUUUUUUUGGGAAAGAAACGCCGCGGGUUAAUACCCGGCUGUCAUGACGGUACCAAAAAAAUAAGCCCCGGCUAACUUCGUG
Molecule: ribosomal RNA, 492 nt
Filed under: uncultured bacterium
Lineage: Bacteria
Description: partial 16S ribosomal RNA
Rfam family: Bacterial small subunit ribosomal RNA
Source: RNAcentral